AAGCAGCGGAGCGUGUGGUUUAAUUCGUUGCUACACGAAGAACCUUACCUGGGUUUGACAUAUAGGUUGUAGGGAACUGAAAGGGACCGACCUUCGGGAGCCUAUACAGGUGUUGCAUGGCUGUCGUCAGCUCGUGUCGUGAGAUGUUCGGUUAAGUCCGCUAACGAGCGCAACCCUCGUCGUAUGUUAUAUGUGUCAUACGAGACUGCCGGUAAAAAGCCGGAGGAAGGUGAGGAUGAUGUCAAGUCAGCAUGACCUUUAUAUCCAGGGCUACACACACGCUACAAUGGUCUGUACAAUGGGUAGCCAAGCCGCGAGGCGGAGCCAAUCCCACAAAGCCGAUCGUAGUCCGGAUUGUUCUCUGCAACUCGAGAGCACGAAGUCGGAAUCGCUAGUAAUCGCAGGUCAGCAUACUGCGGUGAAUACGUUCCCGGGUCUU
RNAcentral lists this ribosomal RNA (439 nucleotides) under uncultured Anaerolineaceae bacterium. Its description in RNAcentral is "bacterial SSU rRNA". It matches the Rfam family "Bacterial small subunit ribosomal RNA", at positions 927 to 1382 of the family's 1533-position model. The record is from RNAcentral. Lineage: Bacteria; Bacillati; Chloroflexota; Anaerolineae; Anaerolineales; Anaerolineaceae.